Molecule: long non-coding RNA, 1348 nt
Organism: Pogoniulus pusillus (Red-fronted tinkerbird)
Lineage: Eukaryota; Metazoa; Chordata; Aves; Piciformes; Lybiidae
Exons: 11
Source: RefSeq, a predicted model, not a curated record
GCGGCAGGGCACGGCGGUGCGGCGCAACGCAACGCAGUCUCCUCCCCAGGCGCUCUUGUGCCCGAGCAGAGCUCCCUCGAUAGAGGAACGGAACAGCGUAAAACGAGACGCAGGAGCGCAGGUCAAGCGCGGACAGACAAUGUGACUAGGGGAAAAACCCUCGAGUUGUGAUGACAGCAGGCGCACACAGAAUGUUAGGAAUUGGAAGGGACCUUGAAAGAACAUCCAGUCCAAUCUACCUGCCAAAGCAGGGUCACCUAGAGUAGGUCACACAGGAAUGCAUCCAGGGAAGAGCUACAUGUGACAGCAGCUGCCAUUUUUUGAGGACAUGUUCCAUCCUGCCAGAUGUCUUUUUCACAUAGCAGUAUAUUUGCUUCAUCACCACGACAACGUACUUCACUCCAGUAAACAGGAAUAAGGCCGAGUCCAGAAAAUGAAUUCCCAAUGACAACAGUGGAAGAAUUCAUUCAUGUACACAGAGCAAAAGAUAGCACAAGAGAUAACUUCUGCACAUCAGCAACUCUCUUCCCAACAAUUGGAAUAUUGACAGCUGUGUAUAGAAACACCUCUGUUUUAUGAAGGAUAGUAGCUUUCAUAACUGACCUGUGUAUAUCUCACAAGAAAAUACAACAAAGAACCAGCUUCUGUCAUACAGAAGAGAAAACACACCAGAAAAUCACUAAAGUAAAGUGUCAAUCCUCUGCUGAAAGUACUUAUCAGACCUUCACUGCCUCAACAGUAAGCUCACCAUCAUGAAACAUGAGGGAUCCUGCUCAUGGCUCCCAUGCCAUGCCUCAGCACAGGUGUUCCAACAUGAGACAGUAACACAAAAAGGCCCUGCACCAAUAUAAUGGAUCACAGUUGCCUUGGAGGCAGUUAGCACAACUUGAGACUGUGUCCCCUUGUUCUGUUGCUGGUUGCCUGGGAGAAGAGGCCACCCCCCACCUGGCUACAGUGUCCAUUAAGAUGACAUUGCAGUGGGAUGACUGGCUCCAGAUUCUGAGUCUGCAAUGCCAUGUGGCUGUGUGGGGAGUGAGACUCAAGUGUGAGAGCAGCAGUACCCCAGCAUGACUAAGUACAACAGAAGAGCUGCUUUAGUUCCUGAUGCUGAGAAUAGGAAGUCGAUGCUGCAUCAUGCACGUUACAGUCUGUGAGCUAGGUGAAAGCUGGCCACCUUAUCUCAGAAGGGGUAGAUGAUGGACCCUCGCUAACGAGAAUAACAAGGUGUGUAUGUAUGCAGAUGUGGCGGGUUGUCCCUGACUAACUACACUAAUGUGUAGGCGUGUGCUCUGCUGGCUGAGUGUAUAUACUCGAGCUGUUAUCAUCAAUAAAAGGGGCUUCUGCAUAA